CCUACGGGUGGCAGCAGUCGGGAAUAUUGCACAAUGGACGCAAGCCUGAACCAGCGACGCCGCGUGGAGGAAGACGGCUCUCUGAGUUGUAAACUCCUUUUUUACGAGGGUAAACGCAAAUGCUAGUAUCUGUCUGAAAGUAUCGUACGAAUACAGAUCGCCUAGCUCCGUUCCAACCGCGGCGGUAAGACGGAGGGUUCAAGCGUUACCAGGAUUUGUUGGGUUUAACGGGUGCGGAGGCGGUCGGAUAAGUUAGAGGUGAAAUCACGAGGCUCAACGUAGGAAUUGACGCUGAUACUGAGAGGCUAGAGAGUAGGUGCGGGAGGCGGAAUGUAAGGUGUAGCGGUGAAAUGCGUAGAGAUCAUACAGAACACCGGUUGCGAAGGCAGCUUACCAGGCUACAUCUGACGUUGAGGCACGAAAGCGUGGGGAGCAAACAGGAUUAGAUACCCUAGUAGUC
RNAcentral lists this ribosomal RNA (460 nucleotides) under uncultured bacterium. RNAcentral's name for it is "partial 16S ribosomal RNA". It matches the Rfam family "Bacterial small subunit ribosomal RNA", at positions 338 to 795 of the family's 1533-position model. The record is from RNAcentral.